AUGUGUCCUGUGACUGUAUGCUCGACACUUGAUUCACAAAAUCAUGAGUUCAAAGCGCUGAUAUUCAAGUUCAUGGUUAAUGGCAGCCUUGACAGAUGGUUACACUCUGAGCAACACAAUGGAAUCCCAGGAAGAAUGCUAAACUUUGGCAAGAGGAUAUGCAUAGCGGCAGAUGUGGCUUCUGCUCUUGAUUAUGUCCACAACCAACUAACGCCUCCUUUGAUCCAUUGUGAUUUGAAGCCAGAGAACAUCAUUUUGGACGAUGACAUGACCGCGCGGCUCAGUGAUUUUGGCUCAGCAAAGUUUUUGUCACCAGAUAUGUUUAUUCCUGAAAGCCUGGAUGAUGUUGGAGGAACAGUUGGAUACAUGGCACCCGAGUACGGGACUGGUUACGAGAUCUCCGUAGGAGCUGAUGCAUAUAGUUUUGGAGUGCUUCUGCUGGAGUUGCUUACCGGAAAACGACCAACCGAUGAUAUGUUUGUGGAUGGACUUACCCUUCCCAUUUUCUCUGAAUCCAUGUUUUCCCUGAAAGAGUCGCGGAGAUUCUAG
This 549-nucleotide ribosomal RNA is filed under the name Triticum aestivum (bread wheat). RNAcentral's name for it is "partial small subunit ribosomal RNA". The record is from RNAcentral. Lineage: Eukaryota; Viridiplantae; Streptophyta; Magnoliopsida; Poales; Poaceae.